AACAAACAUCGAUUCCAUUGCUUUUUUUUAAAAGUGAUGUCGUCGGAUUUGAGCCGUCUUUUUUUUAUAACUAAUAAGUGGCUUAAAAUUGAUUUUUUUGGUAUGAUCGAAGCGUAUUUUAUGAUCAAAUUUUGGUUAAGGAAACGCACACGUACCGUCAUUUUAUAUGAUGUAAUACGUUUGACUAUCAGAUUUAGAUCAUUCGUAUACGAUAUUUUUCAAU
This 223-nucleotide unclassified non-coding RNA is filed under the name uncultured Glomus. Its description in RNAcentral is "partial internal transcribed spacer 2". Lineage: Eukaryota; Fungi; Glomeromycota; Glomeromycetes; Glomerales; Glomeraceae. The record is from RNAcentral.